GGCAAAUUGACAAGUUAAAAAAGAAAAUAAAUCACUGAUGUGAAAUGACUUCUAUUCUUUAAAGACUGAUGAGAGAGAAUAAUCAGGAAAAAAGAAAAAUAAAACAAUUUCAAAUUCAAACUAGUUGUUUUCCCAGCUUUUUCUGCCUUCUCAGUCUAUGAAAUGUUAGAGACUCAUGUACACAGGGGCUAUAAUGACCACGUGAACCCACCACAUCACAAGGAGUUGCUGAAGGGGGAUGAGCACCUUAGGGAAAAAGUCACCACCCUGCUUUCUCCCUGAGCCAGACAUGUGCUUCAGCCUCCUGUGCUGUGCAGCUUUUUUUUUCUUCUGGGGAACAGGCUCUGUGGACACUGAGGUCAUCCAGAGUCCAGGUCAUCUGGUCAAAGGAAAAGGCCAGAAAGCAAAGAUGGAUUGUGUCCCCAUAAAAGGACAUAUUAAUGUUUACUGGUAUCGCGGGAAGCCAGAAGGAGCAUUUGAAAUUUUGAUUUACUUAAAGAAUCAAGAUAUCAAUUGUGGAAGAUACAGAAGUACUUCAACAGCGAUUUUUGACUCCGUGGCCCCAAAACUCACAUGCAGCCUGGAAAUCAACUCCACCGAGGCAGCAGACUCGGCUCUGUAUUUCUGUGCCAGCAGCCAGUCCACAGUGCUUCACGUCAGCUCUUCUUAGAGCACAAACUCACCAUGGACCCAGCUCAGGAAAUCAGUGGUGUCGUAGGAGGG
This is a non-coding RNA of Bubalus bubalis (water buffalo), 723 nucleotides long. The record is from the annotation of a RefSeq genome assembly. Lineage: Eukaryota; Metazoa; Chordata; Mammalia; Artiodactyla; Bovidae.